RNAcentral lists this ribosomal RNA (377 nucleotides) under uncultured bacterium. RNAcentral describes it as "bacterial SSU rRNA". It matches the Rfam family "Bacterial small subunit ribosomal RNA", at positions 524 to 898 of the family's 1533-position model. The record is from RNAcentral.
GACAGAGGGUGCAAACGUUGUUCGGAAUUACUGGGCAUAAAGCGCGCGUAGGCCGUUCGCUAAGUCAGGUGUGAAAGCCCCCGGCUCAACCGGGGAAUUGCAUUUGAUACUGGCGAGCUUGAGGAUGAGAUGGGUGGGCGGAACUCCAGGUGGAGCGGUGAAAUGCGUAGAUAUCUGGAGGAACACCGGUGGCGAAAGCGGCCCACUGGACCAUCACUGACGCUGAGGCGCGAAAGCUAGGGUAGCAAACGGGAUUAGAUACCCCGGUAGUCCUAGCCAUAAACGAUGGGCACUAGGUAGGGGAAGCACCUAUGUCUUCCUCUGCCGGAGCUAAUGUAUUAAGUGCCCCGCCUGGGGAGUACGCUCGCAAGGGUAAA